This 501-nucleotide ribosomal RNA is filed under the name uncultured bacterium. RNAcentral's name for it is "partial 16S ribosomal RNA". It matches the Rfam family "Bacterial small subunit ribosomal RNA", at positions 29 to 523 of the family's 1533-position model. The record is from RNAcentral.
AUUGAACGCUGGCGGCAUGCCUUACACAUGCAAGUCGAACGGCAGCACGGGUGCUUGCACCUGGUGGCGAGUGGCGAACGGGUGAGUAAUACAUCGGAACGUACCUUAUCGUGGGGGAUAACGCAGCGAAAGCUGUGCUAAUACCGCAUACGCCCUGAGGGGGAAAGCGGGGGAUCGAAAGACCUCGCGCGACUAGAGCGGCCGAUGCCUGAUUAGCUUGUUGGUGGGGGAAAAGCCCACCAAGGCGACGAUCAGUAGCUGGUCUGAGAGGACGAUCAGCCACAGUGGGACUGGGACACGGGCCAGACUCCUACGGGAGGCAGCAGUGGGGAAUUUUGGACAAUGGGGGCAACCCUGAUCCAGCAAUGCCGCGUGAGUGAAGAAGGCCUUCGGGUUGUAAAGCUCUUUUGUCAGGGAAGAAACACCGGCUCUAACACAGUCCGGGAAUGACGGUACCUGAAGAAUAAGCACCGGCUAACUACGUGCCAGCCGCCGCAGUAA